GGCGCGGUGGCAGAGUGGUCAUGCCGACGACUGCAACUCGUCUUACGCCGGUUCGAUUCCGACCCGCGCCUCCA
This 74-nucleotide transfer RNA is filed under the name Cellvibrionaceae bacterium. RNAcentral's name for it is "tRNA-Cys". It matches the Rfam family "tRNA". From Rfam's summary of the family: Transfer RNA (tRNA) molecules are approximately 80 nucleotides in length. Their secondary structure includes four short double-helical elements and three loops (D, anti-codon, and T loops). Further hydrogen bonds mediate the characteristic L-shaped molecular structure. tRNAs have two regions of fundamental functional importance: the anti-codon, which is responsible for specific mRNA codon recognition, and the 3' end, to which the tRNAs corresponding amino acid is attached (by aminoacyl-tRNA synthetases). tRNAs cope with the degeneracy of the genetic code in two manners: having more than one tRNA (with a specific anti-codon) for a particular amino acid; and 'wobble' base-pairing, i.e. permitting non-standard base-pairing at the 3rd anti-codon position. Lineage: Bacteria; Pseudomonadati; Pseudomonadota; Gammaproteobacteria; Cellvibrionales; Cellvibrionaceae. RNAcentral also lists the same sequence under 2 other names. The record is from RNAcentral.